UACAGCUGUUUACAAUUUAAAAAACAAAGCAGACGAAAAGUAAACAAACAAUUUAGAAACAACACGUGAAAUAUUUGCGAAUUAUUAUUGAAGUAAAUAAAUGAAUAUAAGUUUAAAAUAAGAAAAAUAAUAAAUAUGACGGAGUGUAUAGUGUGUCAACAAACAACCAAUAAAUACAAAUGUCCCAAAUGUUUUGAGCCCUACUGUUCCCUAGAUUGCUAUAAACAACACAAAGAGUCACCACAAUGUGUGGAUAAACUUAAUGGAAAAACAAAGGUGGCAGAAGUUAAAGAAUGUUCCAAUGAUAUUAAUGAACCUACUGUCUAUGAGCCAUUUAAAACGGAGGACACUGUGCCACAGGAAAAACUGAAGGAAUUGGGCACAAGUGACGAGCUAAAGAAUCUUCUAUAUAAUCCUCACUUAAGAAAUUUAUUAAAGGAAAUCGAUACAGCACCAAAUGCUUGGAAAGCCAUUCGAGCAGCUAUGCAUGAACCACUAUUUUUAGAAUUUGCCGAUGAAUGUUUGAAAAUAAUAGAACCAGCCACAGCGGAAGAUGAGGUGUAAUCUAUAAUAAAUAAUUAAAGACUGAUCAGUUGUUUCAAAUAGUGUGCCACAAAAUAUAAGAAUAAUAGUAACAAUAUUUUGUAUGUGCUUCAAUGCUGCGAAUAAGAAAUAUUUUUAUUUGUGCUUGAUAACAUUAUUAUUAAUACUUAAAUACUAAAAGCACCGGGACUAAUGUUACAACAUUAUAA
This is an RNA transcript of Lucilia sericata (common green bottle fly), 752 nucleotides long. It is a transcript of the gene named zinc finger HIT domain-containing protein 3, with no coding region annotated. The transcript has 4 exons. The record is from RefSeq and is a predicted model, not a curated record. Lineage: Eukaryota; Metazoa; Arthropoda; Insecta; Diptera; Calliphoridae.